Molecule: long non-coding RNA, 212 nt
Filed under: Elaeis guineensis (African oil palm)
Lineage: Eukaryota; Viridiplantae; Streptophyta; Magnoliopsida; Arecales; Arecaceae
Description: long non-coding RNA (EGUI_LNC046672)
Source: RNAcentral
AGUGGAAGCAUGCUCACUAAAGCCCCUAAUCUCUCUCCUCAGAAAGUGAAAACCACUCUCUAAGACUCCUCGCAGUCUGGCUGCCUCCGCAGAUAGGUCUGAGACCUCAGUGAUGCCCUCAUGUGGCUGUGGAUGGGCUAGAGCUAACACUUGCCUCUGCAAGUCAAAUACUCUGCCAGUCAGUCUCACUAUACAACCCUAAAGCUACUCGA